RNAcentral lists this ribosomal RNA (465 nucleotides) under uncultured bacterium. RNAcentral describes it as "partial 16S ribosomal RNA". It matches the Rfam family "Bacterial small subunit ribosomal RNA", at positions 338 to 795 of the family's 1533-position model. The record is from RNAcentral.
CCUACGGGGGGCAGCAGUAGGGAAUUUUCCACAAUGGGCGAAAGCCUGAUGGAGCAACGCCGCGUGGGUGAAGAAGGUCUUCGGAUCGUAAAACCCUGUUGUUAGAGAAGAAAGUGCGUGAGAGUAACUGUUCACGUUUCGACGGUAUCUAACCAGAAAGCCACGGCUAACUACGUGCCAGCAGCCGCGGUAAUACGUAGGUGGCAAGCGUUAUCCGGAUUUAUUGGGCGUAAAGGGAACGCAGGCGGUCUUUUAAGUCUGAUGUGAAAGCCUUCGGCUUAACCGGAGUAGUGCAUGGGAAACUGGGAGACUGGAGUGCAGAAGAGGAGAGUGGAACUCCAUGUGUAGCGGUGAAAUGCGUAGAUAUAUGGAAGAACACCAGUGGCGAAAGCGGCUCUCUGGUCUGUAACUGACGCUGAGGUUCGAAAGCGUGGGUAGCAAACAGGAUUAGAUACCCCAGUAGUC